RNAcentral lists this ribosomal RNA (33 nucleotides) under Pratylenchus crenatus. RNAcentral's name for it is "partial 28S ribosomal RNA". The record is from RNAcentral. Lineage: Eukaryota; Metazoa; Nematoda; Chromadorea; Rhabditida; Pratylenchidae.
UCAAGCGUGAUUACCCGCUGAACUUAAGCAUAU